Molecule: long non-coding RNA, 427 nt
Filed under: Volvox carteri
Lineage: Eukaryota; Viridiplantae; Chlorophyta; Chlorophyceae; Chlamydomonadales; Volvocaceae
Description: long non-coding RNA (VCAR_LNC003517)
Source: RNAcentral
UCGCGAUGGUGAAGUCCUAUGUUGCCAAGUUGCCAUAGAACUCGGCAAAGUCGUCAUAUUUCAUUCCACUGACGGCCAGGAAUUCCUCAAACGCUUUGGUGGCCUUAUCACCAGCAACACUGCAAACGUUGCUGGGCACGUUUAAAAUGUACCGCUCAUCUGAUGAACCAGUGCAAUGGCUGAUGAUGCCACUCACUUGUCAUUCGUUGGCUGCAUCAUAGCUGCAGCUGGACCUCGUGCAUCCUGCGCCUAUUGUCCGACGGCUGCGUGGGCUGCAUCCCGAAUCCACCCACAAAAUCAUCAUUGGCUUCCAUUGUGAUAUUACCUCUUAAGCAUCUUUAGAGAUUUGGCCUAUGGGGUUAGACAGUAGGGUCGGGCUGGAGCCAACUAUAGCACAGCCAGAGACUCUUGAUCCUGAGUAAGGUAA